Oryctolagus cuniculus (rabbit) is the source of this 377-nucleotide non-coding RNA. Lineage: Eukaryota; Metazoa; Chordata; Mammalia; Lagomorpha; Leporidae. The record is from Rfam.
AAUGUGCCCUUUCUCUCUUGACAUUUUAGCAGCUGUCAGUAAAUAUUGAUUUGCCCCCAGUUUACCUGCUGCCUGGCUGGCCACUGGCAGACUCGGGGACCGGCUUCGGGAAGGAACUUGAAUUUUGUAUGACUUUCAGGCCCUUUCAGCUCUCCCUAAACCUUCCCUCUGAGUGGCAUUGUAAAACACAGUGACAAAGAGACAGAGUAGGGCUUGAGGCCCCAGUUCCUGGGGACUGCAGGGCGGUUUCACAUACGGUCAGACACGGCUGGAGGCCAAGGUCAAGUUGAAAGUUGCAGUCUAGCCAGCGUGAGAACUUCCAUGCAAGCCCGGAGACCCUGGUGGCCGCAAAAGGCCCAAUCGCCCACCUCCCCUCA